Long non-coding RNA from Monodelphis domestica (gray short-tailed opossum), 565 nucleotides. RefSeq lists it as uncharacterized. Lineage: Eukaryota; Metazoa; Chordata; Mammalia; Didelphimorphia; Didelphidae. The record is from RefSeq and is a predicted model, not a curated record.
UUUCCUUCUCCAGUCCAUUUGACAGAAGAGGCAAACAGGCAAUCAAGUUGAAGUGACUUGCCCAGGAUCACAGAGCUAAUUUGUCUGGUGGAGGGAAGGAGCAUUGCUUGGAAAGGAUUGGAUUCCAGCCCUGGCUCUGCCUCUUACUUGCUGUGUAAUAGUGGAAAAUGUGGUUCAAAGAGGACAACUGGCUUGCCAAAAGUCACCUGGGUAAUAAGUAUGAAAAAGGAGGAAAAGACCUAAUGAUCUCAUGACAUCUUUCUGCUGGAUUUGUCAUUGGGAUUACUGUGGCCUCUCUCAUCAUUCUUAUGAUUACAUGCAAGGUCAGAUCCUAUCACACAAAAGGACAACUCUGGAGUGCAGACAGUGGCAAUUGUUUUGCCUGCUAAAGGUAUUAGGGUUAAAAUGAUAUCAAAGACAAUUAAACAUGGAAAAUAAACAUUGAACUAUGUGCCAAGGACCUAAAAGAACUCAAGAUCUGCUUGAAGAAAUCAGGAAAUAUAUUUAUUGGGAAUUGAGAAGCUUGAUUAAGAAAAAAUAAUAAAUUCUGUCUCUUUUCUUUGAA